RNAcentral lists this long non-coding RNA (1749 nucleotides) under Homo sapiens (human). RNAcentral describes it as "long independently transcribed non-coding RNA 2686 (LINC02686)". The record is from RNAcentral. Lineage: Eukaryota; Metazoa; Chordata; Mammalia; Primates; Hominidae.
UGCUCUUUUACUCCAUGGUGUACUUCACCUACAUUUUCAUUUUUUGUCUUCAUUUUUUGUCUUUGUAAUUGAUCUGCAGGCUAGUUGAUCUUGACACUAAUGCAUUCAGAAGGCUCCACUGUGGAGCAGGGGAGUAGGUUGCUAGGCAACCUCACGAAACAGCAGCAUUGCUGGGCCUCUUACCUAUAAGAGUCUUGUUUGGGGAGAAUCUAAGGCAUUAUACUACUUCUAACUCUUCUCCUUAGGCCUCAAAAAAACAGAGAUUUGAAUGAAUACUGAAGGCAUUUCACAAUCCAAAAACAGUAAUGCCCUUUGAAGAAAUACAGCUCUCAGUAACAGCACAGAGUCUGCUAGACUGUCCUGUCAAUGUCAGUGGGGUUGCCUAGAUUGAUUAUGGCCUGUUCCUUUGACAAGCACCUAAGGCCCCUGGAUUUCUCCAGGCACUCAUUAGUGUGACUGCUAAUCCCUCUCAAGGCCCUGAAGAUACUUCUUUAGAGAUCCAAAGAUAUUCAAGCUCUCUUUGUUCCUGCAUCUGAAGAAUGGGUUAAGAAUAGCACCUACCUUCGGACUGCUUUGAGAAUAAAGUAUUUAAUGUACAGCCCUCAGAAGUGUGCCUGCCUUAGAGUAAGAACAGGUCUAUCACUUUGCACAAUAGGGAACCAUUUGGGUUGAAUUCUUUGGGAUUUGUGCCUGUUGGAACACAGCAUAUUAAGAGACUGGUGUCUUGACAUUCUGCUACAAAACAGUCUUGUAUAACAUGAUGUAAAUUAACUGUUAUUAUUAUUUUGAUUUGUGCUGGGUGACCUUAUUUCUUGGUUUGGUCAGGACAGUCUUGGUUUAUUUCUAUCUUCCUCAUAAAAUUGUUAACAACCUCUUUCAUUCUCUGAAUCCAUUUAUUCAAGCCUGUUUGAAAGAAAUUUGCUAGCCCAUUUGUUUAGAACUUUAAUAUAGAGUAUUUUACUUUUAUUUAAAUCUCAAUAUAUUUAGAUUCAGACUCCAAGUCUGCAUGGCCUAUUACAAGGCAAUUUUCUACAAAGAUAUUCACUUGGCUUGGGGCAAGUGAAUGUUUGUUUGUUUCCAUUUGGUUUUGCCAAAAGAUUCAGAUUCUUAUUUUAUAAGGCUUUACAAAAGUAUUUUGACAUAAUUUCUUCAUUGCUAAUCAAUUUAGUAUCCUAUAUAUAAUUAUUAUUUCUGGACAACUGAGAAACAGUAUACACUGUUUCAGCAUUACUCAAAGUUUUCACAUCAUUAUCCCUAUGAAAAGUAAUAUUUGCUUAGAAGACUUAACUGAAAUAAAAGGAAUUUGGAGGCAUUAAUAAGAAAGCCGAUAACACAACUUAUCACAUUUUCUUAAAAUUUAUACCAUUAUAAGAAAAAUAAAUACUAAAGAAGACAUUAAAUAUUGAAUUAUAUAAAAUUUCCAAAAAUUUUUUUAUUUUUGAAAAGAAAAACUGGGGCUUGUUAAUAUGAACAUAAUUUUAUGCAGAUUUUAUUUUUGUAAUGGUUAAAUGUAGUUCUGAUCAAGGUUGUUUAAAUAACCUUUUCACUUUAUUUCCAGUUGUCAUCAGUGAUAAAUUUGACACUAGUAUGUAGCAAAAAUAGCAAAAAGAAAAACAAAUUAUUUAUCGUCGGGGAUAUCCUUCUUACCAUUAAUCUAAAUGUGGUUAAGUUUAUUUCUUUAAAUUAUGUGUCAGGUUAUAAUUUUUCUUUAUAUGUAAUAUUUCAUUAAAAAUGUUAUGUUAAAAUUUU